This 76-nucleotide transfer RNA is filed under the name Rhodobiaceae bacterium. Its description in RNAcentral is "tRNA-Lys". It matches the Rfam family "tRNA". From Rfam's summary of the family: Transfer RNA (tRNA) molecules are approximately 80 nucleotides in length. Their secondary structure includes four short double-helical elements and three loops (D, anti-codon, and T loops). Lineage: Bacteria; Pseudomonadati; Pseudomonadota; Alphaproteobacteria; Hyphomicrobiales; Rhodobiaceae. The record is from RNAcentral.
GAGCCCGUAGCUCAGUCGGUAGAGCAACUGACUUUUAAUCAGUGGGUCGCAGGUUCGAUUCCUGCCGGGCUCGCCA